AACCCCGUUACCCCCCAGCCCACACACCCCACCGCAGUUUUGGGUGGGGAGAAGGCAAAGGGAGAGAUCAUCUCUCGAAAACCUCCCAUCAGAGCAACGAUUUUGGGAGUUUGAGCAGAAUGCUUAAGGCAGUGGUUCUAAAAUUCCACACCACCUGUUCUUCCAGUUGUGUCCUCUCUGAGCUGCCUCUGACGGUCACAUUCCAUGGCCAUGUGCCACAGCAGACUUGUGAUACUGAUUUUAGUGUUGUCCUUGGCCAUUGCGGGCAGGGAGGAAGCAGAGAGAAGAGAAGGGGAGAGAAGAAGAGAAAUGGGAGUGGGGUCCAUUUAUCCAUCUCUCUGUCAUUAGGGGCCCAGCAGUUCCCACUAUGGUACCUAGGAAACUAGCUUGGACCUGGAGGCCAUCCAGUGACCUAAUCUGGACCAAUAAAGCCACCAGGCCAUUUUCCUGCGUCGGACAUGCUUUCUCAGCUGCCCUUCCCCUUAGCUAGGGCUGAAAUGACUCGUCUUCCCAUGCCCUAGUUCCAUGGGGUUUCCUCUCUGUGACUUAGGACAGAGGGCUUGGUUGCCACCAAAGGCAGCUUAUGGUGUAGCUUCAGGUCUAGCCUGACUCAGUGGCCUUCCCUCAGCUAUUCACUACGGAGGCACUUAAUGAAGAAGACACAAGGGUAGCAGGCCUGAGGGAUAACUUCAAGGCUAACGUGUCUUUUUUCCAGUACUUACUCUUCUUUUGAAUUUUAAGAAUUCCAGAUUUUAUUCUAAGUCAGAGAAUACUGCGAGAAAGGAUUUUAUUGUAUCCACUCCCUCCAAAUGGCAUGAACAUCUGGAUUUGCAUCCUUCCCAUGACAGAUAUCACAAAUUGGGUUGGGUUUUGCACGCUCAGGAUGAUUUUUGGUAUUCAGCUAACACCCUUCCUUUAAGGAAGUUAGAACACUUGAUAAAUUUUAAGCUUUUGAUCCUCAGUAGUACCCCUGGAAAACUGAGGUCCAGUGAGAUAAAUUGUCUUGAUUAAUUAUAUGACAUGCACUGCUUUUUGGUGGCUCUUUUGUUGUGUUUUGUUUUUUCUUUCUCCUUCAUUUUGUUAAAAUGAAUUAUGUGAAUGUCCAGGUCAGCAGUGUUCUAUUUUCGUAGGGUAAGCCCCAUCUCUAGUACUGUUUAUUUCCACUGUGCCUAUUUUUCAGGGAACUCUGUGCAUUUCCACAUUUCCAUCGCCAGCUCUAAGAAGAAAAUAGAAAAUGAGAUAUUAGAAGGAAAUAGAACAAAAACUAUCUGCCUUCAAGGAGCUCACAGUCUAGUUCUGGAGACUGGACAUACGCAGUCUCUGCUGUCUGCUUGGACUGGUGUCACUGUGAUCAUUCUCAGUUACAGAGACAGUUGACGGCUUUGGAGUGAAAGCUGGGAGCCAAGGAGUCCUGAGAAAACUAUAAAUGGGCAUGGAAUGUCCUGGAUAAUUCUGUGGUGGGGAAAUUAAUUCUGAACCACUAAGUACUGUUAAGAAGCUGAUGCCAACUAAAUAGGCAGAAAUUUUUACAAAAGCUGCCAGAGUUUAGAAACCACCCAGUGUGCCAUAGCUUCAGGGGAGCAAAACUACCCACUCUACCAAGUUGGAAAAAAUGAAGAACACUUCAAACUGAAUCCAGCUGAUCCUGGAGGCCACUGAUCCUGUCCUAAUGGAGACAAAAAGUGACAGUAUUUCGAAAAAAGCCUGGUUUUGGUACAGCUCUUCCAGAACCCACGGGAAGAACCUGUUCAUCAGCUCAUCCAUCCAUCUGCUGAGUAAAUGCUUAUUGAGCAUCUACUGAAUGCCAGCACUGUUCUUUGUUCUUGGAAUACAUCAGUAAACAAAAUAGGAAAAACAAAACC
This 1862-nucleotide small RNA is filed under the name Pongo abelii (Sumatran orangutan). Its description in RNAcentral is "processed transcript". Lineage: Eukaryota; Metazoa; Chordata; Mammalia; Primates; Hominidae. The record is from RNAcentral.